Molecule: long non-coding RNA, 1417 nt
Organism: Macrobrachium nipponense
Lineage: Eukaryota; Metazoa; Arthropoda; Malacostraca; Decapoda; Palaemonidae
Exons: 7
Source: RefSeq, a predicted model, not a curated record
CAUUCCAGACUGACAUGCCUUGUGACUUACAUAAACCAGACCUCUACAUAGCCUACAUGUCUUCAUUUUGCUGAAGACUGCCCAUCAUCCUAGCCUGUUAUCUGUGAUAAAGCACACUGAAGUUAGGUAUGGAAUGCUCUACACCUCCAUCUCCAUCUCCCACAACCUAGGUAACAGCUUUGAGACUCACUAAAAGUUGAAUCCCAGAACCCCCUGAAUGAUGUAGGCUAUGGGGCCACAUAAGACUUUGUCCAGGGUUACAUAGCACGACAACUUUAAACUAAAAGUAAGGAAUUAAUUAACAUACAUUAACUAAGUUUUAUACAUGUUAUAUCUGAUAUUAAACCACUGUAUGGUGCAAAUUACUGUAUGUAACUUACUCUGCAUAGAGGACUUACUGACAUAAUUAUUUUUUGUACAUUCCAGAAUCCCAGAACCCCCUGAAUGAUGUAGGCUAUGGGGCCACAUAAGACUUUGUCCAGGGUUACAUAGCACGACAACUUUAAACUAAAAAACCAACAUUUUUCACACAACUCCAGGUUGUUACUACACAUUACAAGUGUCAUCAAGGGAUAACUACAAGUAGAAGCACCAUUUUUGGAUGGAAAAACUCCCUUCAGGAAAGUAUACGUAUCAAAUGUAACAUGUAGUAGUGUAACAAAGUAUGAACAGUAAGGUUUUUACAUACAGUAUGUACAUACGUACAUAACUUUUUUUUAUUAGGAAUUUCCAACCAAGUUUGAUUACAUGUUAUAAACCACUGUACGUAUGGUUAUACUGUAUGUAACUUACUAACAUACAUGACUUAACUUAGAUAAUUUUUUGGUACAUUCCAGAAUCCCAGAACCCCCUGAAUGAUGUAGGCUAUGGGGCCACAUAAAACUUUGUCCUGGGUUACAUACAUAGCACGACAACUUUAAACUACUACAGUACUAAAAAAUCCCAGAACCCCCUGAAUGAUGUAGGCUAUGGGGCCACAUAAGACUUUGUCCAGGGUUACAUAGCACGACAACUUUAAACUAAAAAAUCCCAGAACCCCCUGAAUGAUGUAGGCUAUGGGGCCACAUAAAACUUUGUCCAGGGUUACAUAGCACGACAACUUUAAACUAAAAAACUACCAGACUGGGAUUUUAGUGUACUCCAGGAUGUACAUACUACACAUUACCAAAGGAUUACUUCAAGAUUGUGCAUAGUGUAUAGUGUAUAAAUUAACCUAAGGAUUACUUCAAGAAUUUGCAUAGUGUAUUAGUGUAUAUAAACUCAACUAAGGACUUGGUACUUCAAGAAUGUGCAUUUAUAGUGUCACAAGUUUAUUAAUAAAGAUUAUAUAGCUUCAAGAACCAUCCUUUGGCAUUGAAAUAUAACCACACUACACAUCAUGCAAUACUUGCAUGUCACACAGGUAAGGUCUCUGACU